Molecule: long non-coding RNA, 4655 nt
Organism: Numida meleagris (helmeted guineafowl)
Lineage: Eukaryota; Metazoa; Chordata; Aves; Galliformes; Numididae
Exons: 4
Source: RefSeq, a predicted model, not a curated record
CUCACCUUCUCUCCUGGAAGAAGCCUUCCCCAGGCCCAGCCGCUGCCUCUUCCUGCUCAGUGCCGUGGGGUGAGUGCUCGCACAAUCCCGUGAUUGCGUGGCUGGGCUUUGGUGUGACAUUGUCCCCACGGUAGAUAAGGAGGAAGCACGUAAUGCUGAUGACAGGCUGGCAGCCACGAGCUACGUGCUGUUCCGACCUGAAAAGCUGGAUUGGCAACGACACCUGAUGUCCCAGCGGAGGGCUGCUGCUCCGCCGUCUGUACAGGUGCAUUCCUUCUCUCCAGUACCGAAAUCUAUGAUGAGUUGCAGUUGGUAAAAUGAAAAUGUCUUAAUUCAGGAAAUGUAGAUGAAAACAUUCAGCAUGGAAUCCAGGCAACAAUAACACUGAUGUCAGCCUGCUGUCCAAGAUUCACAGGGGCUCCCAGGAGGAAAUAUGUCACCAGGCGCUUGCCAGCCACCGUUCUCUCCUUCCCCCAGGUUUGCCGGAUGACCAUCCUGGCAUCGACGUCUUGACUUGAGGAUGCCACAAGCAGGACAAGGAAAGGCGGGUUCUUAUGGCAUUCUAUAUCUGGGAGCUGCAAGAAGUUUCUUUCAAAUCUCCUAAAUGUUUGUAGUAUGCAAUUUUGUUUUUUUCCAUAGAAUAUAGAGAGUCCAGUCAAAUUCAUGUAAAAAUAACAUAAGCUGGCACAGCUGAGCCCCACAAGGCACACAAGCACCUUGAAUUUUCUGAAAUCCAUCUGAAAUAAACCAGAAGGAAUGGCAUAUUAAAAAAAAAAUCUUGUUCCCUUCAGUGCUGCAUACAAAACUCACUGCAUAGGGAUUUAAAGCCAAGUCAUCCCUUUUUGAAAGCUGCCUGCCUCUGGGCAUUUGCCCACAUGCAUUUUUCUGAGGAAUGUUCCUACAAGACAUACUGCUGGCAAUCAAAUUCUCACUUGUUCUUCUUUGAACCUGCCCCUAAGACAGUAUAUCCUCAAAAACUCACACAAGAGAGCUCACUGAUACCAGGUCACCCUAGCUGAUGCUUAUCAUUUGCUCAUUACUUUCAAUAUGGAAUCACAGAAUCAUAGAAUCACCAAGGUUGGAAAAGACCUCAAAGACCAUCCAGUCCAACCACCCACCUACCACCAAUAUUUCCCCACUAAGCAUGCUACCAAGCAUGCCUUUGACCCAUCAGCAGUGACAACAAGAAGGACUGGAGAAGCAGCAGACAUACACUCAUGCCAGAUGAGAGAAAGUAACAGUAAUACAAUUUCUAAAUACCGUAUUUCUCCAUUCAAUUGAAAAAUGUCUGGGUCCCGAAGCCAGCAAGCCCUGGCCAAUUAGCAGGCAUAACCAACCAGGUUCCUCCAGUCUUCAUCUACUCUGCAUCCUGUGGGUCUCUUGCACCGAUCCAGAAUUUGCUCCCGAUCUUUCCGCUGGAGAGGCCGUGAGUGGCAUGUUUGACAUGGGCCAGCUGCUUGGAAAAAAAGACAAAGCAGUGAGUCAGGUUACUGGGAUCUUUCUCUUUUUGCAGACUGUAGGUGACUCACUAGGGCAUGUUGAGGUGAAAAGCGAGUGGUCUGCACUUCUCUGUCCUUUAGAGGAAGGAGACCCAAACAAUAACAACUCAUUCAUCCUUGUAACAUACUGAUGUGCUGCAGACACAGUUGCAAAUCUAGUAGAAAUUGUAAGAGAGAGGAAAACAAUGAAAGUAAAACUAAAUAGAUCACAGUGCCAAAAAGAAUUACACGCCUCCUUAAAUGAACUGAGAAAAUUCUAAUGGUUGAGUUACUAAGUACAUGACCCAAAGGGCCCACCAGCUCCUCCUUCAGAGCACCAGAAUGAGGGAAUUUUUACUGGGAGGAAAGCAUUCCAUUCCUCUUCUCCCACUCCAUAACAGCAAAUUUGAUCUGGUUUCCCAUCCAAAAACACAACAAAUGGAGCUGGGAAGCCUCGGAGUUCUAGAUUUCAUGAAAAUUUGAUCUCUGUCUUCUGACCAGGAAUGUUCUGCCUAGACUCCCCAAGCCACACCAGUACCUUCAUCUCAAAUGCAAGCAGAGGCCUCCAACAUCUUUCUUUUCUACUCAAUUAAUAGGUUAUGUGUUACAGACUUCAAUGCAUUUUGAAGUUCAGUCAGUAAGUUCAACCCAACUUACCAAUACGAAUAAUCUCAUUAAUUUUGUCAGGUACUCACGAAAACAUAAAAUGAGUAGAUCUGGAGUCCUAAUUUGCUGAAAUUCCUUCCACGGUGAAAUGCAUUUUUUUUAAAGAUUCAAUAAGCAUUUUUGAAAAUAUGUACCAAUUUCAUGUUUCUUCUGAUACUUGUAUUUAAAUUAUUAUCUUUAAAUUGAAUAUUCCUCAGAUCUGUAUUUUUUCAACUAUACAUAGCAUACAGUAGCCUUAAGAGUAUCUCAAUAAUUGUUUUAAAUAAAUACACUUGUAAAUUUGUGUGAGUAUAGCUAUAAUAAAAAAACAUGCAUAUAUAAACACAUUUCUAUAUAUGAUGUUCUGAGAGCAACAGAAGAGCUGCAGAACGGGUUAGCUCCUUUUACCGGCACUCAUGAUGCUGCUCAAGGACCUGCCAUUGCUCUGUAGCAGGACUCCCAGGAUAUGUACAUCCAGAAGCCCUUCAGAUAAGCCCUUCCCUUAAAGGAAGCUCAUUAAAAUUUCUUCAGAAAUACUCCAACCCCCCUGCUAAAGCAGGCUCCCUACAGCAGGUCACACGGGAAAGCAUCCAGAUGAAUUUUGGACACUUCCAGAGAAGGAGACUCUACAACGUCUCUGAGCAAGUUCUUCCUGUGCUCUAUCACCUUAACAGUAAAAAAGUUCUUCCUCAUGUAUGUACGGAACUUCCUGUAUUGCAGUUUUUCCCAUUGCUCCUUGUCUGUUGCUGCACAUCACUGAAAUCAUAGAACGGCAUAGGUUGGAAGGGAUCUGAAAGCCCAUCAAGUUCCGCCCCUCCUACCAUGGGCAGGGCUGCCCCCCACCAGCUCAGGCUGCCCAGGGCCCCAUCCAACCUGGCCUUGAGUGUCUCCAGGGAUGGGGCACCACAGCUUCUCUGGGCAGCCUGUGCCAGCGCCUCACUGGCCUCUCAGUGAAAAUUUUUUCCCUGACAUCUAACCUAAAUCUCCCCUCUUUUAGUUUAAAGCCAUUCCCCCUUGUCCUGUCACUAUUAGUUAGCGUAAAAAGUCAGACUCCCUCCUGUUUAUAAGCUCCCAUUAAGUAAUGGAAGACUGCAGUGUGGUCUCCCAGGAGCCUUCUCCAGGCUGAACAAGCCCAGCUCCCUCAGCCUUUCUUUGCUCUAGCCCUCUGAGCAUCUUCAUGCCCUCCUCUGGACCCACUCCAACAGCUCCCCAUCCUUCUUGUGCUGCAGGCCCCAGGCCUGGACUCAGUAUUCCAGGUGGGGCCUCACAAGGGCAGAGCAAAGGGGGACAAUCCCCCCUCUCUCCCUGCUGGCCACCCCUCUUUUGAUGCAGCACAGCAUACCGUUGGCUUUGUGAGCUGCAAGAGGCUACAAGAGCACACUGCUGGCUCAUAUCCAGCUUUUCAUCCAUCAGAAUCCCCAAGUCCUACUCUGCAGAGCUGCUCUCGAGGAGUUCUUCUCCCAGUCUGUACACAUACCUGAGAUUGCCAUGAUUCAAAUGCAGCACCUUGCACUUGGCCUUGUUGAACCUCAUUAGGUUCACAUAGGCCCACUUUUCAAGCUUGUUUGGGUCCCUCUGUCUGGCGUCUCUUCCUUCUGUCCUAUCAACUGUACCACUCAGUUUAGUGUUGUCUGCAACAUGCAGAGGGUCAUUGAUAAAGAUGCCAAGUAACACUGGUACCAAGACGGACCCCUGGGGGACUCCACUCAUGGCGGACCUCCACCUGGACAUACGGCCACUGACCACAAUACUCUGGCUGAGACUAUCCAGCCAAACCCUUAUCUACUGAACAGUCAACUCUUCAAAUCCAUACUUCUCCAAUUUAGAGAUAAGAACGCGAUGUUUUACCAUGUCAAAGGCCUUACAGAUAUCCAGGUAGAUAACAUCAGUCAGUCUUCCCUUUUCAACUGAUACUGACACUCCAUCCUAGAAGGCCUCCAUUGGUUAGGCAUAACAUAACUUCCAAGAGGAUUUGUUCUAUGAUCUUCCCUGUCACAGAGGGAAGGCUCACCAGUCUGUAGUUCCCUACAUCUUCCUUUCUUCCCUUCUUAGAAAAAAGAGCAAUGUUUUCCUUUUCCCAGUCACCUGGGUCUGACUGAUUUCAGCAGAAUCAUACUGAUAUGACCUGAUCACAGGCUACUUCUCAGUUGUCUUCUGAGUUCAAUCACUGGUAACAUAUCUUAAAAAAAAUCUGAAAUGUCCCCAGUAUGGGUGUCACAGGCACAUCAGUUCCUGGAAGGUACUGGCUACGCUGUCUGUCCACGGCUGGUGUCCUCCUUUUCAGUCUACAUAUGACAAAAUAUAUACAGACAUGGACUAUGCAAAUGUUUGCAAAUUAAUGUCAAUUGCAAAAGGUAAUUGUAAAUGCUAGCUUCCUGGAGCAAAAUCUCUUUCAGUUCUGACUGUGUGGCACCUGGAAAAUGUUUGCUUUUUUCAUAGGUUUUAUAAUCAAAAUAAGAACUUAUUAAGUACGAAUUGUACUGGGUUUUUUGUUUGUUUGUUUUUCCAAAUAAAAUCUCUGUAUCUACCCCA